GUCGUAACAAGGUUUCCGUAGGUGAACCUGCGGAAGGAUCAUUACCUAGAGUUGUAGGCUUUGCCUGCUAUCUCUUACCCAUGUCUUUCGAGUACCUUCGUUUCCUCGGCGGGUCCGCCCGCCGAUUGGACAAUUUAAACCAUUUGCAGUUGCAAUCAGCGUCUGAAAAAACUUAAUAGUUACAACUUUCAACAACGGAUCUCUUGGUUCUGGCAUCGAUGAAGAACGCAGCGAAAUGCGAUAAGUAGUGUGAAUUGCAGAAUUCAGUGAAUCAUCGAAUCUUUGAACGCACAUUGCGCCCCUUGGUAUUCCAUGGGGCAUGCCUGUUCGAGCGUCAUUUGUACCUUCAAGCUCUGCUUGGUGUUGGGUGUUUGUCUCGCCUCUGCGCGCAGACUCGCCUCAAAAUAAUUGGCAGCCGGCGUAUUGAUUUCGGAGCGCAGUACAUCUCGCGCUUUGCACUCAUAACGACGACGUCCAAAAGUACAUUUUUACACUCUUGACCUCGGAUCAGGUAGGGAUACCCGCUGAACUUAAGCAUAUCA
Molecule: ribosomal RNA, 542 nt
Filed under: uncultured fungus
Lineage: Eukaryota; Fungi
Description: eukaryotic LSU rRNA
Rfam family: 5.8S ribosomal RNA (bases 184-337)
Source: RNAcentral